UACGUAGGUGGCAAGCGUUUGUCCGGAUUUAUUGGGUUUAAAGGGUGCGUAGGCGGUCUUAUAAGUCAGUGGUGAAAUACGGCAGCUCAACUGUCGAGGUGCCAUUGAUACUGUAGGACUUGAGUACAGACGAGGUAGGCGGAAUUGACGGUGUAGCGGUGAAAUGCUUAGAUAUCGUCAAGAACACCGAUAGCGAAGGCAGCUUACUAGGCUGUAACUGACGCUGAGGCACGAAAGUGUGGGGGAUCAAACAGG
RNAcentral lists this ribosomal RNA (255 nucleotides) under uncultured bacterium. Its description in RNAcentral is "partial 16S ribosomal RNA". It matches the Rfam family "Bacterial small subunit ribosomal RNA", at positions 524 to 776 of the family's 1533-position model. The record is from RNAcentral.